CGGGGAGCACCACAACGGGUGGAGCCUGCGGUUUAAUUGGACUCAACGCCGGGCAGCUCACCGGAUAAGACAGCUGGAUGAUAGCCGGGCUGAAGACUCCGCUUGACUAGCUGAGAGGAGGUGCAUGGCCGUCGUCAGUUCGUACUGUGAAGCAUCCUGUUAAGUCAGGCAACGAGCGAGACCCACGCCAACAGUUGCCAGCAUGUCCUCCGGGAUGAUGGGGACACUGUUGGGACCGCCUCUGCUAAAGAGGAGGAAGGAAUGGGCAACGGUAGGUCAGCAUGCCCCGAAUUAUCCGGGCUACACGCGGGCUACAAUGGUCAGGACAAUGGGUAUCGACACCGAGAGGUGGAGGCAAUCUCCUAAACCAAUCUUAGUUCGGAUUGAGGGCUGCAACUCGCCCUCAUGAAGCUGGAAUCCGUAGUAAUCGCGUUUCAACAGAACGCGGUGAAUACGUCCCUGCUCCUU
This 468-nucleotide ribosomal RNA is filed under the name uncultured Methanolinea sp. RNAcentral's name for it is "bacterial SSU rRNA". It matches the Rfam family "Archaeal small subunit ribosomal RNA", at positions 871 to 1337 of the family's 1478-position model. The record is from RNAcentral. Lineage: Archaea; Methanobacteriati; Methanobacteriota; Methanomicrobia; Methanomicrobiales; Methanoregulaceae.